RNAcentral lists this non-coding RNA (27 nucleotides) under Drosophila melanogaster (fruit fly). The record is from RNAcentral. Lineage: Eukaryota; Metazoa; Arthropoda; Insecta; Diptera; Drosophilidae.
UAUCCUGUUAAACGACAAAUCUCCCAC